This 432-nucleotide ribosomal RNA is filed under the name Providencia rettgeri. RNAcentral's name for it is "bacterial SSU rRNA". It matches the Rfam family "Bacterial small subunit ribosomal RNA", at positions 1 to 431 of the family's 1533-position model. The record is from RNAcentral. Lineage: Bacteria; Pseudomonadati; Pseudomonadota; Gammaproteobacteria; Enterobacterales; Morganellaceae.
UAAUUGAAGAGUUUGAUCAUGGCUCAGAUUGAACGCUGGCGGCAGGCCUAACACAUGCAAGUCGAGCGGUAACAGGGGAAGCUUGCUUCCCGCUGACGAGCGGCGGACGGGUGAGUAAUGUAUGGGGAUCUGCCCGAUAGAGGGGGAUAACUACUGGAAACGGUAGCUAAUACCGCAUAAUCUCUCAGGAGCAAAGCAGGGGAACUUCGGUCCUUGCACUAUCGGAUGAACCCAUAUGGGAUUAGCUAGUUGGUGAGGUAAUGGCUCACCAAGGCGACGAUCCCUAGCUGGUCUGAGAGGAUGAUCAGCCACACUGGGACUGAGACACGGCCCAGACUCCUACGGGAGGCAGCAGUGGGGAAUAUUGCACAAUGGGCGCAAGCCUGAUGCAGCCAUGCCGCGUGUAUGAAGAAGGCCCUAGGGUUGUAAAGU